Molecule: ribosomal RNA, 332 nt
Filed under: Pachygrapsus marmoratus (marbled crab)
Lineage: Eukaryota; Metazoa; Arthropoda; Malacostraca; Decapoda; Grapsidae
Description: partial 12S ribosomal RNA
Source: RNAcentral
AAUUACUUAAAAAUUAAAAAAUUUGGCGGUGAUUUAAUCUUUCCAGAGGAACUUGUUUCUUGAUCGAUACUCCUCGCAAAAUCUUACUUAUUUUUGUUAACAGGCAGUUUGUAUACCAUCAUUAGCAGGUAACUUCAAAAGAAUAAGUUACUAAAUGUUAAUUAUUUACAAAAAUUAGAUCAUGGUGCAGCAUAUAAAUAAGUUGAAAUGAGUUACAAUAAGUUAUCUUAAACGGAGCAGUAAAGUAAGAAUUGCUGUGAAGGAGGAUUUGGUUGUAUUAUAAUGUUAAUAAGCUUAUGAGACAUAAGUUCUAAAUCAUGUACACAUCGCCC